RNAcentral lists this ribosomal RNA (253 nucleotides) under uncultured bacterium. RNAcentral's name for it is "partial 16S ribosomal RNA". It matches the Rfam family "Bacterial small subunit ribosomal RNA", at positions 524 to 776 of the family's 1533-position model. The record is from RNAcentral.
UACAGAGGGUGCAAGCGUUGUUCGGAAUUAUUGGGCGUAAAGCGCGUGUAGGCGGCCAAGCAAGUCGGGUGUGAAAGCCCUCGGCUUAACCGAGGAAGUGCACUCGAAACUGCCUGGCUCGAGUACUGGAGAGGAUGGCGGAAUUCCCCAAGUAGAGGUGAAAUUCGUAGAUAUGGGGAGGAACACCGGUGGCGAAGGCGGCCAUCUGGCCAGAUACUGACGCUGAGACGCGAAAGCGUGGGUAGCAAACAGG